This is a microRNA precursor of Sorghum bicolor (sorghum), 109 nucleotides long. It matches the Rfam family "MIR5565 microRNA precursor family". Lineage: Eukaryota; Viridiplantae; Streptophyta; Magnoliopsida; Poales; Poaceae. The record is from Rfam.
GUAGUCAGAUUCACAUCAAUCCAUAUAUAUUGAGGUGGGUUGAAGUGAAACUUGAACUAAAUUCCACCCCAAUCCACUUCAAUACAUGUGGAUUAAGGUGAAUACGACA